RNAcentral lists this ribosomal RNA (253 nucleotides) under uncultured bacterium. RNAcentral's name for it is "partial 16S ribosomal RNA". It matches the Rfam family "Bacterial small subunit ribosomal RNA", at positions 524 to 776 of the family's 1533-position model. The record is from RNAcentral.
UACGUAGGAGACGAGCGUUGUCCGGAAUUACUGGGCGUAAAGCGCGUGUAGGCGGAUGGGCAAGUCUGCUGUGAAAGCUCCUGGCUUAACCGGGAGUGGUCGGUGGAAACUGCCAAUCUGGAGGACGGUAGAGGUAGGUAGAAUUCCCGGUGUAGUGGUGAAAUGCGUAGAGAUCGGGAGGAAUACCUGUGGCGAAGGCGGCCUACUGGGCCGGACCUGACGCUGAGACGCGAAAGCGUGGGGAGCGAACAGG